GGAUCCCUAGCUGGUCUGAGAGGAUGACCAGCCACACUGGAACUGNAGACACGGUCCAGACUCCUACGGGAGGCAGCAGUGGGGAAUAUUGCACAAUGGGCGCAAGCCUGAUGCAGCCAUGCCGCGUGUAUGAAGAAGGCCUUCGGGUUGUAAAGUACUUUCAGCGGGGAGGAAGGCGAUGUGGUUAAUAACCGCAUUGAUUGACGUUACCCGCAGAAGAAGCACCGGCUAACUCCGUGCCAGCAGCCGCGGUAAUACGGAGGGUGCAAGCGUUAAUCGGAAUUACUGGGCGUAAAGCGCACGCAGGCGGUCUGUUAAGUCAGAUGUGAAAUCCCCGGGCUUAACCUGGGAACUGCAUUUGAAACUGGCAGGCUUGAGUCUCGUAGAGGGGGGUAGAAUUCCAGGUGUAGCGGUGAAAUGCGUAGAGAUCUGGAGGAAUACCGGUGGCGAAGGCGGCCCCCUGGACGAAGNNNGACGCUCAGGUGCGAAAGCGUGGGGAGCAAACAGGAUUAGAUA
Molecule: ribosomal RNA, 516 nt
Filed under: Pantoea sp. A-Se-D-2-2
Lineage: Bacteria; Pseudomonadati; Pseudomonadota; Gammaproteobacteria; Enterobacterales; Erwiniaceae
Description: bacterial SSU rRNA
Rfam family: Bacterial small subunit ribosomal RNA
Source: RNAcentral